GGUUUGAUUCUGGCUCAGAUUGAACGCUGGCGGGAUACUUUACAUGCAAAGUCAGACGGCAGCACGGACUUCGGUCUGGUGGCGAGUGGCGAACAGGUGAGUAAUGUAUCGGAACGUGCCUAGUAGCGGGGGAUAACUACGCGAAAGCGUAGCUAAUACCGCAUACGCCCUUCGGGGAAAGCGGGGACCUUCGGGCCUCGCACUACAGAGCGGCCGAUAUCGGAUUAGCUAGCUGGUGGGGUAACGGCUCACCAAGGCGACGAUCCGUAGCUGGUUUGAGAGGACGACCAGCCACACUGGGACUGAGACACGGCCCGAACUCCUACAGGAGGCAGCAGUGGGAAUUUUGGACAAUGGAAACCCUGAUCCAGCCAUCCCGCGCGUGUGCGAUGACCUUACGGGUUGUAAAGCACUUUUGGCAGAAAGAAACGGCACGGGAUAAUACCCGUGCAACUGACAGCUGCAGAAUGGCACCGGCUAACUACGUGCCAGCAGCCGCGGUAAUACGUAGGGUGCAAGCGUUAAUCGGAAUUACUGGGCGUAAAGCGUGCGCAGGCGGUUCGGAAAGAAAGAUGUGAAAUCCCAGAACACUUUGGAACUGCAUUUUUAACUACCGAGCUAGGUGUGUCAGAGGUGGAAUUUAACGUGUGAUGAAAUCGUAGAUAUGCGGAGGGGAACACCCGAUGGCGAAGGCAGCCUCCUGGGAUAACACUGACGCUCAUGCACGAAAGCGUGGGAGCAAACCGAGUUAGAUACCUGGUGGUCCACGCCUAAACGAUGUCAACUAGCUGUUGGGGCCUUCGGGCCUUGGUGAUGGCGCAGCUAACGCGUAAGAAGUUGACCGCCUGGGGAGAGUACGGUCGCAGAUUAAAACUCAAAGGAAUUGACGGGGACCCGCACAAGCGGUGGAUGAUGUGGAUUAAUUCGAUGCAACGCGAAAAACCUUACCUACCCUUGACAUGUCUGGAAAGCCGAAGAGAUUUGGCCGUGCUCGCAAGAGGAACCGGAACACAGGUGCUACAUAGCUGUCGUCAGCUCGUGUCGUGAGAUGUUGGGUUAAGUCCCGCAACGAGCGCAACCCUUGUCAUUAGUUGCUACGCAAAAGGCACUCUAAUGAGACUGCCGGUGACAAACCGGAGGAAGGUGGGGAUGACGUCAAGUCCUCAUGGCCCCUUAUGGGUAGGGCUUCACACGUCGCUACAUCACAAUGGUCAGGACAGAGGGUCCUUAGCCCGCGAGGGAGCCAAUCUCAGAAACCCGAUCGUAGUCCGGAUCGCGGUCACAGCUCGACUGCGUGAAGUCGGAAUCGCUAGUAAUCGCGGAUCAGAAUGUCGCGGUGAAUACGUUCCCAGGUCUGCCGCACCGCCCGUCACACCAUGGGAGUGGGUUUCACCAGAAGUAGGUAGCCUAACUUGGCAGGGGCGCACCACAGUGGGAUUCUAACGGCUAGGGGUGAGUCGUAACAAGAGUAA
RNAcentral lists this ribosomal RNA (1472 nucleotides) under uncultured Bordetella sp. RNAcentral describes it as "partial 16S-23S ribosomal RNA intergenic spacer". It matches the Rfam family "Bacterial small subunit ribosomal RNA". Lineage: Bacteria; Pseudomonadati; Pseudomonadota; Betaproteobacteria; Burkholderiales; Alcaligenaceae. The record is from RNAcentral.